GAAUUCGAUUAACGCGAAGAACCUUACCUAGGCUGGACAUGCACGUAGUAGGAGGAUGAAAGUCUAACGAGGUAGCAAUACCAGCGUGCUCAGGUGCUGCAUGGCUGUCGUCAGCUAGUGCCGUGAGGUGUUGGGUUAAGUCCCGCAACGAGCGCAACCCCUGUCUUCAGUUACUAACGGGUCAAGCCGAGAACUCUGGAGAGACUGCCCAGGAGAACGGGGAGGAAGGUGGGGAUGACGUCAAGUCAGCAUGGCCUUUAUGCCUAGGGCUACACACGUGCUACAAUGGCCGGCACAAAGCGCUGCAAACCCGUAAGGGGGAGCCAAUCGCAAAAAACCGGCCUCAGUUCAGAUCGAGGUCUGCAACUCGACCUCGUGAAGGCGGAAUCGCUAGUAAUCCCGGAUCAGCACGCCGGGGUGAAUACGUUCCCGGGCCUUGUCACACCGAAUCACUA
RNAcentral lists this ribosomal RNA (455 nucleotides) under uncultured soil bacterium. RNAcentral's name for it is "bacterial SSU rRNA". It matches the Rfam family "Bacterial small subunit ribosomal RNA", at positions 947 to 1384 of the family's 1533-position model. The record is from RNAcentral.